UCUCCCUUAUUCUUUUUAGGUUCAUAUCUACAGUGCUUGCCUUAUAUUAUAAUUGGGGUUCUGGGUGUAGCGAGUGCUUUUGUUGCUUUGUUGCUUCCAGAGAGCUUUAGGCAACCACUGCCUGAAUCCUUUCAACAAAUGCAUGAAACAAAAAGGAUGAAGUGUCCCUGCAUCAACAGAACUAAAAGAACAGCACUGAUGGUUUUACCUGACAGUCCUCUGUGACAGUCUGCUAUGUUAGUAUUUCUAGUUAGGUUUGAAGAUUCUACUAAAUAAAAUUAACCCCAAAUUACCAUUUACAAUGAAUGUUCCUAAAUAGUGAAUUGCUGUUUGUUCUUACUGAGUUUAUCUCAAACAGACAAUUGGUAAUAUUUAC
Molecule: long non-coding RNA, 376 nt
Organism: Cyprinodon tularosa
Lineage: Eukaryota; Metazoa; Chordata; Actinopteri; Cyprinodontiformes; Cyprinodontidae
Exons: 2
Source: RefSeq, a predicted model, not a curated record